CCAGACUCCUACGGGAGGCAGCAGUGGGGGAUAUUGCACAAUGGGGGAAACCCUGAUGCAGCGACGCCGCGUGAGUGAAGAAGUAUUUCGGUAUGUGAAGCUCUAUCAGCAGGGAAGAAAAUGACAGUACCUGACCAAGAAGCCCCGGCUAACUACGUGCCAGCAGCCGCGGUAAUACGUAGGGGGCAAGCGUUAUCCGGAUUUACUGGGUGUAAAGGGAGCGUAGACGGUUAUGUAAGUCUGGAGUGAAAGCCCGGGGCCCAACCCCGGGACUGCUUUGGAAACUGUGUAACUGGAGUACGGGAGGGGCAGGCGGAAUUCCUGGUGUAGCGGUGAAAUGCGUAGAUAUCAGGAGGAACACCGGCGGCGAAGGCGGCCUGCUGGACUGAAACUGACGUUGAGGCUCGAAAGCGUGGGGAGCAAACAGGAUUAGAUACCCGGGUAU
This 445-nucleotide ribosomal RNA is filed under the name uncultured bacterium. RNAcentral describes it as "bacterial SSU rRNA". It matches the Rfam family "Bacterial small subunit ribosomal RNA", at positions 331 to 793 of the family's 1533-position model. The record is from RNAcentral.